Molecule: ribosomal RNA, 497 nt
Filed under: uncultured bacterium
Lineage: Bacteria
Description: partial 16S ribosomal RNA
Rfam family: Bacterial small subunit ribosomal RNA
Source: RNAcentral
GAUGAACGCUGGCGGCGUGCCUAAUACAUGCAAGUCGAGCGAACAGACGAGGAGCUUGCUCCUCUGACGUUAGCGGCGGACGGGUGAGUAACACGUGGAUAACCUACCUAUAAGACUGGGAUAACUUCAGGAAACCGGAGCUAAUACCGGAUAAUAUCUUGAACCGCAUGGUUCAAUAGUGAAAGACGGUUUUGCUGUCACUUAUAGAUGGAUCCGCGCCGCAUUAGCUAGUUGGUAAGGUAACGGCUUACCAAGGCAACGAUGCGUAGCCGACCUGAGAGAGUGGUAGGCGGCAUGGGAACUGGGACAGGGUCAAGAGUCCUACGGGAGGCAGCAGUAGGGAAUCUUACGCAAUGGGCGGAAGCCUGACGGAGCAACCCCGCGUGAGUGAUGAAGGUCUUCGGAUCGUAAAGCUCUGUUAUUAGGGAAGAACAAAUGUGUAAGUAACUAUGCACGGCUUGACGGUACCUAAUCAGAAAGCCACGGCUAACUACGUG